GACGAACGCUGGCGGCGUGCUUAACACAUGCAAGUCGAGCGGUAAGGCCCUUUCGGGGGUACACGAGCGGCGAACGGGUGAGUAACACGUGGGUGACCUGCCCUCAGCUCUGGGAUAAGCCCGGGAAACUGGGUCUAAUACCGGAUAUGACUCCAUGACGCAUGUUGUGGGGUGGAAAGCCUUGUGCGGCUGAGGAUGGGCCCGCGGCCUAUCAGCUUGUUGGUGGGGUGAUGGCCACCAAGGCGACGACGGGUAGCCGGCCUGAGAGGGCGACCGGCCACACUGGGACUGAGAUACGGCCCAGACUCCUACGGGAGGCAGCAGUGGGGAAUUUUGGACAAUGGGGAAACCCUGAUCCAGCCAUUCCGCGUGAGUGAAGAAGGCCUU
RNAcentral lists this ribosomal RNA (387 nucleotides) under uncultured bacterium. RNAcentral's name for it is "bacterial SSU rRNA". It matches the Rfam family "Bacterial small subunit ribosomal RNA", at positions 28 to 418 of the family's 1533-position model. The record is from RNAcentral.